GGGGAAUAACAUUCAUACAUAUAAGCAUGAAAUGACUACUCAUGCGUAAAAAUUCUUUUUCAUCUUUUAAGUUCAUAUCUGAGGAUGAUACAGAAUACACACCUUGUAUUUAAAAUUUAUUUUUGGGAAGGAGAAAGGAGGAAUUUCCACAGGUCAUGAUGGCAUACUUGAUUUACCUUUAUGUGGAAAAUUUCCCACCCAAUCUUUUGAUGAUCACACCUUGAUACUUUUCUGAACAAAAAACUCCCCUAUGAAAAUUCAUGCUUGUGAAUUAGUUUCUUUUGUGAACAUCUUAUGAGGGCACUGCACUCUUCUCAGGAACCGUCAUACCAUAGUGAUUGAUAAUUGUAGGAGGUUCAUGUAUAAAACCUAAAAAUUCUCUUUCAUCCGAAGGUUUGUCACUAUUCAAGAAAACAGAAAAGGUUUUCGCUGUCAUGGCCUACGUACUUCUGCAAACUAAAUUAGCUCUUUACAAUAUUAUGUUCCUCUUCAUGCAUAAACGUCUUGCAUUCUUU
RNAcentral lists this unclassified non-coding RNA (515 nucleotides) under Hevea brasiliensis (rubber tree). The record is from RNAcentral. Lineage: Eukaryota; Viridiplantae; Streptophyta; Magnoliopsida; Malpighiales; Euphorbiaceae.